GUUCGAGCGCGAAGCACUUCGGUGUGAGUAGAGCGGCGGACGGGUGAGUAACGCGUAAGAAUCUACCUAGUAGUGGGGGACAACUCGGGGAAACUCGAGCUAAUACCGCAUACGCCCUACGGGGGAAAGCGGGGGACCUUCGGGCCUCGUGCUAUUAGAUGAGCUUGCGUUGGAUUAGCUUGUUGGUGGGGUAAUGGCCCACCAAGGCGACGAUCCAUAGCUGGUCUGAGAGGAUGAUCAGCCACACCGGGACUGAGACACGGCCCGGACUCCUACGGGAGGCAGCAGUGGGGAAUAUUGCGCAAUGGGCGAAAGCCUGACGCAGCCAUGCCGCGUGUGUGAAGAAGGCCCUAGGGUUGUAAAGCACUUUCAAUUGGGAGGAAAAGCUAACGACUAAUACUCGUUAGCCCUGACGUUACCUUUAGAAGAAGCACCGGCUAACUCCGUGCCAGCAGCCGCGGUAAUACGGAGGGUGCAAGCGUUAAUCGGAAUUACUGGGCGUAAAGCGCGCGUAGGCGGCUUUUUAAGUCGGAUGUGAAAGCCCCGGGCUCAACCUGGGAACUGCACCCGAUACUGGAAGGCUAGAGUGCGAGAGAGGGAGGUAGAAUUCCAUGUGUAGCGGUGAAAUGCGUAGAUAUAUGGAGGAAUACCAGUGGCGAAGGCGGCCUCCUGGCUCGACACUGACGCUGAGGUGCGAA
RNAcentral lists this ribosomal RNA (698 nucleotides) under Halieaceae bacterium. RNAcentral's name for it is "bacterial SSU rRNA". It matches the Rfam family "Bacterial small subunit ribosomal RNA", at positions 61 to 757 of the family's 1533-position model. Lineage: Bacteria; Pseudomonadati; Pseudomonadota; Gammaproteobacteria; Cellvibrionales; Halieaceae. The record is from RNAcentral.